RNAcentral lists this long non-coding RNA (243 nucleotides) under Rattus norvegicus (Norway rat). Its description in RNAcentral is "long non-coding RNA NONRATT000132". Lineage: Eukaryota; Metazoa; Chordata; Mammalia; Rodentia; Muridae. The record is from RNAcentral.
GAGGAACAGCGAGCGGCCCCCGCCCCCGGGCCGGCCGGAGCGCGCCCGGCCCGCCGCCCGCAGCCCCAGAGCCGCGCCUCCUCGGAUCGACAGCCAGUCUCUUUGCCCGCGCAGUUAGGGUGCCCUCCACCACCGCCAAGCCCGCGGACAUGUCCUUCCCGCAGCUGGGCUACCCGCAAUACCUAAGCGCCGCGGGCCCGGGCGCCUACGGUGGAGAGCGCCCUGGGAUGCUGGCUGCGGCCG